This 409-nucleotide unclassified non-coding RNA is filed under the name Hevea brasiliensis (rubber tree). Lineage: Eukaryota; Viridiplantae; Streptophyta; Magnoliopsida; Malpighiales; Euphorbiaceae. The record is from RNAcentral.
GGCUAUUAUAAUUUCAAAAUGUAAUUUAUUUCAGUACAGUGCAUCUAUUAAUCAUGAUAAUUAAUGAGAUACAUUACAGAAUACACGUAACUAAAAAGUUUAUUUCCCAAAGCAUGAAGAUUUAUUAUCAAAAUAGACAAUAAUAGCCCAUGGUGAUAAUACACUUUUAGCAUUUUUCAACCCUCAUUUCCAUCAAUUUUGCUAUCUGGUCCGCACCUAAUGUUGCACUUCCCAUCACAACGAGCGUAUUCUCUCGGUGGGAGACCAACACAAGCAGUAUUGCAACUGUCCCAGCAAUUGACACCCUGAGCUGCGACGCCGACGAUGUCGGUGUUGGCCGAUAAAAGGAUCAAAAACACCAAAGCCAUAGCUGCCACUGAAUUCAUUUUCUUGUUUUCCAUUGUUUUCU